UCCCGGGUUCAUCGAGCAGGCUUUUUUUUCUUUUUUCUUUUUUUUUUUUUUGAGAGAGAAAGCAGGCUCGGUGUUGUCAGCACAGAGACCGAUGUGGGGCUCGAACUCACCAACUGUGAGAUCAUGACCUGAGCCAAAGUCAGAUGCUUAACCAACUGAGCCACCCAGGUGCCCGGAGCAGUUUGUGAUAGUGAAGGUAGAGGAGCCAGUGCCUGUUCUGGAGGAAACACCCAGGUCUGAGAGAUCAGUGCUUUCAGUGCCCAGGAGCCUCAGGCCUCUGAAAGCCUUGAGCUUUGCUUCCAGUGACUUAUCUUCUCCCUAAAGGAGAGUUGAGGUAUUGUGAGCCGGGCACCUGCUCAGGGGGCCUAAAAUACAACAGGGAAAGGGCUUUGCAGAUGGGCUGAUACCUGAGGGGGUUGGGCUUGGAUGCUUCUGAGCAGGGAGCUCAUGGGGAGGGUAUCAUGGGAUAGAGAGAGGGACAGAGACCUUCAAACAGGUGUUUUUUGGAGGGGUGGGAAGAUGUGUCCUGGCCUCUAUGGAGAGUGGUUGGGGGGACCAAAGCUGUCAAGGGGGGACACUCUGAUCCUCUCUUCUGAGAGCAAAGUUGAAAAAGUUUCCCCUCCUAAGACCCUCUCGAAACCCUGCGUUUCUCCUCUCUGUACUCUCUUCCCUUCCACCAUACACUUCAUUGAAGGAGUAAUCAAAAUUUAUUGUCCUGGUUUUUAUUCCAUUUGCUCUCCGGUCUGUGAGAAUAAGUUUCUGCUCCGCUGUUGACUCAUGCUUCGGGUGGACAGUAUUAACCGAGACUCUACUAUGUGCCACACACACACUGGGUGUUGGGAACACAGCCAAGCAGUUCCUGGUGUUUAGGACCUUCCUUGUGUCUAGUAGGGCAGGAAGACCUUUAUACAGCGACAUGACUAAAUGUGAGAUGUGGUGCUAUGAGAGUGAAGUGACAGGUAGAUGUGACCUAGCUGUUGGGUCACGAUAGUGUCUUAUGGUUACUUCAUUGCCAAAUCCUAUAGGUGCUUUACAGUUGUGGCAUGACUAUGAGAUUGCCCUUGAGAGAGUCUCCAUGGAGUGCUCUAAGGGGCAAGAGAGCCGGAACAGAAUGGGGCACCUAAAGCCAAAGGCUCAGAGAGUUUUGUGGAGCAUUUUGGGGGUCUCUCUGCCUAGCAUGCCUUCUUUUCCCCUGUGGUUGACUACCACCUAUUGUUUAUUAGACCAAUUCAAAUCGGGCCUUUUUUAGUAAGAUCCUCCCAAAUCCUUCCACUCCCAUCCCACUGGCCUACUCUGUAGGCUAUACUAUACAGUGCUAUGUACCUACACUAACUCUUUGCAUAUUGGGCUGGGAUGUAUUCUUCGUGUCUGGAUACUUUUCACUCUUGGAAGUCAGGAGAGCAGGGAGCCAGGCAGGGUGUGGUCUGAUUCAUCCUCUUAUGCUCCUGCCCUGCACUAACCCAUGCACACACCCAGCCUUGUAUUGUAGAAGGGAGGGAGGAAGGAUGAAUGGACAGAUGGACCAGCAGAUGCCUCUGAAGUCAUUUGCAGACGCACCCUCGUUCUGCAGAGGCAGUGAGGUAUUGUUGAAGGUGCAGUGCCAUGAGGAUUUGGACCCGGAUUUGGGGCCUGGCUGAGUCACUGAGAGUUAUGUCUUUGCCGUGUGUAUGUUUGCGCCCACCUUUCCAAUGGGUGAAACAAGAAAAUUCCGUGAUUCCAUGUUGAAGCCUCCUUAGAAGUACUCUAAACUUCUCUCUCUUCAAGGCAGCUCUUGAUCAUCUCUAAGCUAGAACCAGUGUUUGUUGUCAGAUCCACAACUCUUUCCAGGCUGCCCGGUGUGAGGCCGGCAACUAUUUGGUGUGCACGUUUUAUAAAGACAGAAUGCUCCCCUUAGCUUCAGUGAAAUGACUGGUUGGAGUCAUUUGGUUGGAUAGAAGUUUGGACAGCUGCCCAGGUCAGGAAUGGUGAAAAGGAACCACUGCUUUCCUUGGUCUCUUUGCUCUCAGAAGCCAAGAUAAAUGCCAUCCCGACCCUCUGCCCACAGCUAUCCCUUUUUCUUAGGAAAGGAUUUGGCUCCUUCCAGCUCAGUGCCUCUGUACAUAAGCUUUUGCUCUGCCUGGGAGAUGCUUCUAACCCCUAAGGACCUGCCCUGGUUGUUAGACUAUAAUCUAAACUGACAACAGACGUUCUGGUUUUUUAAAAAAGUCCUAUCAUUUCCAUCCUUUCCAUUCAGCAUCUUCCCUCAUUGUUCCCUCCCCCAGCCUAUCAUCCCCCUUCCUAAGUUGAUAGUGAGUCUUAUUAAGUGGUGCUGUGUCAUAAAGUGUUGAGUUGUGUCAGCUGGAAAUGGAACAUGAUUAAGUAUAUAAAGGAGCCCCAGCCUCGCCUGCCACAACAUUAUACAACAGAAACCUUGGCAGUGUGCUAACAUCUUUUCUUUCUCUCUUUCCUGGGGAGCAGCGAGCCCGCCUCUCACCAUGUGGGUCCAGUUGUUGGUCCUGGGCUCAAGUCGGCCAAGUGCAGAGAAGCAAGCUAACAGGAGAGAGAAAAAAGGUUCCAGCUCUGUUAUAUAACGGCACUACAGUAACGCACCCCGGUCCUUGGCAGCCCUGUAAAUUCCUCCUCUCUGAAUUGUUGGUUCGGGACAAUCAUUCAGCAGGGAAUUACUUUCUCAUCUAUGAAAUAAAUGAGAUGUUAAACUA
Felis catus (domestic cat) is the source of this 2699-nucleotide long non-coding RNA. RefSeq lists it as uncharacterized. The transcript has 2 exons. Lineage: Eukaryota; Metazoa; Chordata; Mammalia; Carnivora; Felidae. The record is from RefSeq and is a predicted model, not a curated record.